CUUGGAUCUCUGAGCAUGUGCACGUCAAUCCUUUCUCUGAAACGCACGUACAACACACCUGUGCACUCGUUGUAGGUCCUUGAGAUAGAGGAUCUACGUUUCUCAUCAUCACACACGUCGUAUGUCUAGAAUGCGUUCAGAACGUCGAAUCUACUUCGAUGCUCGAUAAACGAAUACAACUUUCAGCAACGGAUCUCUUGGCUCUCGCAUCGAUGAAGAACGCAGCGAAUUGCGAUAAGUAAUGUGAAUUGCAGAUUUUCAGUGAAUCAUCGAAUCUUUGAACGCACCUUGCGCUCCUUGGUAUUCCAAGGAGCAUGCCUGUUUGAGUGUCAUCGAAUUCUCAACCAUGUCUCGAUCGACUUCGAGACCUUGGCUUGGAGUUGGGAGUUGCUGGUGGUGAAGGCCGUCAGCUCUCCUGAAAUGCAUUAGCAAAGGAUGGGCGAGUCUUCGUGUGACGGCCUUGGACGUGAUAAUGAUCGUCAUGGCUGGAGCACCUCUGGAUGCCGCUUCGGUCUUUUUGCUUCUAAAGCGUCCUGCAGUCGUAGUGCAGUCAGUCUUUCGAAACUUGACCUCAAAUCAGGUAGGACUACCCGCUGAACUUAAGCAUAUCAAUAAGCGGAGGAAAAGAAACUAACAAGGAUUCCCCUAGUAACUGCGAGUGAAGCGGGAAGAGCUCAAAUUUCGAAUCUGGCGGUCUUUGGUCGUCCGAGUUGUAAUCUAGAGAAGCGUCUUCCGCGCUGGACCGUGUACAAGUCUCCUGGAAGGGAGCGUCGUAGAGGGUGAGAAUCCCGUCUUUGACACGGACUGCCAGUGCUAUGUGAUGCGCUCUCGACGAGUCGAGUUGUUUGGGAAUGCAGCUCAAAAUGGGUGGUAAAUUCCAUCUAAAGCUAAAUACAGGCGAGAGACCGAUAGCGAACAAGUACCGUGAGGGAAAGAUGAAAAGAACUUUGGAAAGAGAGUUAAACAGUACGUGAAAUUGCUGAAAGGGAAACGCUUGAUGUCAGUCGCGUCGUCCGGGGAUCAACCUUGCUUCUCGCUGGGUGUACUUCCUGGUCGACGGGUCAGCAUCAGUUUCGAUCGCCGUACAAGGGCCAAGGGAACGUGACACUCUUCGGAGUGUGUUAUAGCCUUUCGUCGCAUGCGGUGAUCGGGACUGAGGAACUCAGCAUGGCUCCGCGCUCGUGCUUAGGAUGCUGGCAUAAUGGCCUUAAGCGACCCGUCUUGAAACACGGACCAAGGAGUCUAACAUGCCUGCGAGUGUUUGGGUGGCAAACUCGAGCGCGCAAUGAAAGUGAAAGUUGAGACCUCUGUCGUGGAGGGCAUCGACGCCCGGACCUGAGUCUUUGACGACGGAUCCGCGGUAGAGCAUGCAUGUUGGGACCCGAAAGAUGGUGAACUAUGCCUGAAUAGGGUGAAGCCAGAGGAAACUCUGGUGGAGGCUCGUAGCGAUUCUGACGUGCAAAUCGAUCGUCGAAUUUGGGUAUAGGGGCGAAAGA
RNAcentral lists this unclassified non-coding RNA (1496 nucleotides) under Binderoboletus segoi. RNAcentral's name for it is "partial contains ITS1, 5.8S rRNA, ITS2 and LSU". The stretch from base 567 to 1496 matches the Rfam family "Eukaryotic large subunit ribosomal RNA", at positions 1 to 930 of the family's 3401-position model. Lineage: Eukaryota; Fungi; Basidiomycota; Agaricomycetes; Boletales; Boletaceae. The record is from RNAcentral.